GCCAGUACUCGUGGCCUGUACGACCCCGGCACUGGACAUUGGGUACCGGGUCGUGGCAUGACCCGGUUCCAAUGCUUCAACAUGGGCACCGGGUCGUGCCAGAAACCGGUACCAAAUGGAGAAUGCGACAAAGGCAUCGGUUUGUGACAUUGACCGGUGCCCAUUUUGUAGUCAUUGGCACCGGUUGAAUGAAUGCACCGGGACCAAAAGAUGGUGGGCCCCUCCCUUCUCGAUAUUUUUAAACCUUGUUGGCUCCUCUCAUCUAUAUCUCUACCUCUCAUUUCUCUACUUCUCAUCUCUCUCUACCUUAUCAUUUCUCGCUCAAGAAACCGGGCGUAGAUAGGAUCCCGGGCAGCCGGCCGCCGCCGCCGCGGAGCGCGUGCGCGGCAAGGUGUGCGGGCAGCUGGCCGCUGGCCACCGCUGCGGGGCUGCGCAGGGCGCCGACCGCAGCCGUGGGGGCCCGGCCGCCACUGCCGCCGUGGAGCGCGCGGGCAGCUGGCGGGUGGCCGCUGCCGUGGGGACGCGGGAGCCGGCCGUGGGGUGCAGGCGCACGGGCAGCUCGCCGUCGCCAGUUGCCAUGACCGUGGAGGUGUGCGUGAAGACCGCCGUCGGCCCCCGACACCCUCGGCGACUGCCCCUUCUCCCAGAGGGUCCUGCUCACGCUGGAGGAGAAGAAGGUCCCCUACGAGAUGAAGCUCGUCGACCUCAGCAACAAGCUGGGGGAGCUGGCCGCCCCAUAGACCUCGAAGCAUAGACCAGGCGCUGGUGCACGGGCCACGAGUAGCUGACCGCAGGUCGCCGUUGGGAGAGUGCGCAGGCCGCCGCCGUGGGUGAUUUUUUUUCUUACUUUUUUGAAAUAGAGAUGCACGUGGAAUUGUAUGGAUUGUAGCUAUCUUAUGGGAUUGUAUCUAUCUUAUGAACGAUUCUCUGAAUGCUUUGUGGGAUCUAAGAGUAUUUUGUUGGGGUUGAUUCAA
Molecule: long non-coding RNA, 974 nt
Organism: Panicum virgatum (switchgrass)
Lineage: Eukaryota; Viridiplantae; Streptophyta; Magnoliopsida; Poales; Poaceae
Exons: 2
Source: RefSeq, a predicted model, not a curated record